Equus caballus (horse) is the source of this 333-nucleotide long non-coding RNA. RefSeq lists it as uncharacterized. The record is from RefSeq and is a predicted model, not a curated record. Lineage: Eukaryota; Metazoa; Chordata; Mammalia; Perissodactyla; Equidae.
CGAUGGCUGCGUGGCUGUUGGACCUUGGAGGGAGAAGAAGGGGCCUUUGAGACUGGGGCUCUCCAGGGUUGCACUAGAAGGAAGCCUCACCAAUCACUGAAAGCAGUCCUCCUGGGGACAUCACCUGGGUCAUGGCUCUCGGAAGACCCAGAGUACCUGCCUAUGCUAAGCUCCUCGGCCUCCUGACAUCGCCUGCCCCUGCUCCGUGCCACUAUCCAUAUACUCACUUUGGCUGCUGCUGCCGUUGCCGCGAGCUGGAGGAAGGCUGGGGCUGGGCCUGGGCAGACUGCGGGGUGGUGCUGGCCUGUAGCUGGUGGUACUGUGGUGUGGUGA